This 103-nucleotide small nuclear RNA is filed under the name Cavia aperea (Brazilian guinea pig). The record is from RNAcentral. Lineage: Eukaryota; Metazoa; Chordata; Mammalia; Rodentia; Caviidae.
GUGUUCCACUUGGCAGCAUAGAUAUACAAUUGAAACUACACAGAGAAGAUACCAUGGCCAGUGCACAAGAAUGACAGUAAAAUUCAUUGUGUUCCAUAUUUUU